Molecule: long non-coding RNA, 579 nt
Organism: Schistocerca cancellata (South American locust)
Lineage: Eukaryota; Metazoa; Arthropoda; Insecta; Orthoptera; Acrididae
Exons: 2
Source: RefSeq, a predicted model, not a curated record
CAUAAAAUUAUGCACUUUACAAAAUGAAAAAAACUUGGUGUCCUAUGCCUGUAGUGUGAAUAUAUCACAAUUGAAGUUGAUCAACUCUUACAGAUACUUGGGUACGACAGUUUGUUGGGGAAAAAAUGGUCACAUAGGCCCCAUUGUGAGUAAAACAGGUGGUGAACUCGAAUCACUGGCAGGACUGGAAAAAUAAAAUCAGGACAGUACAAGAAGACAAAUAAGAAAAGAUAACAACAGGAGGCUGGUGACGUAGGCAGAACUCUGCAACAAUUACUGGUGAUUUAACACCAUGAAAACACACAAAUUCCCCUUGCUGUACAUUACUCAACAAUAGAAUAUGUAAUGUGGAACGUUCCACAAUUACAGAUAACUGCAAAUUUGUAAGCAUAGCCGUGGUUUACCAUUGACUCAUCUGCUGGUUACAGUGUUACAGCUGCAAUAGGAAGACUAUGUUUCAUAAUUUUGUGCUACUGUUGUUUGAGUGAGUUCUGCUGAUGUAUAAAUUAUUGUUUCUUCUUGCUUUUAUUCGUGAGCUACAUAGCUAAGUAAACUAACGUGAAAAUUCUGGGUAAUCAA